AUGGAGGGUCUUCUGCAUUGGGAUUUCAACCCCGGCCUAGCGGUCGCAGAUCAGGUGCAUCGAUGUUUCGGCUCUACGGUUCACUUUUCCUCCGCCCAUGGGACCAAGGAAUUUUUCUUGGUCGUAUACUUCUCGUCGGCUUCCUUCGUUCUAUUGGAGGAGUCAGUUGGUUUGGCGCUACAAUGCUGUAUUGGAGGCUUACCCUCGAGCCUCAAUGUCCAAACCCUAAGCGAUCGGUGCUUCCGCUUCUUGGUGGCAUCUAACAAAGUUGGUCAUUUAAUAUACCACCUCAAAGAUCGCAUCUGGACGGACUUCAUAUGUCACUUUCAAGUCUUUUGA
RNAcentral lists this ribosomal RNA (339 nucleotides) under Triticum aestivum (bread wheat). Its description in RNAcentral is "partial small subunit ribosomal RNA". Lineage: Eukaryota; Viridiplantae; Streptophyta; Magnoliopsida; Poales; Poaceae. The record is from RNAcentral.